This 333-nucleotide ribosomal RNA is filed under the name Triticum aestivum (bread wheat). Its description in RNAcentral is "partial small subunit ribosomal RNA". The record is from RNAcentral. Lineage: Eukaryota; Viridiplantae; Streptophyta; Magnoliopsida; Poales; Poaceae.
AUGCUCACAUGCCCAUUCACUAGGCAGACAUGGCAUGAGGUCCUAUCUUGGCUACGUUUGCCAACGCCGACGCUCGAGCACGACGACUCGCUCAUGGACUGGUGGCUGCGUGCGAAGGAGACCACACCGCCAACGCUACACAAGGCGCUGAAAUCCGUGGCGCUUUUGGUGCCGUGGAUGCUUUGGAAGCAUAGGAACGCGUGCGUUUUUUACCAUGUUAGCCCAUCGCUCAAUGAGUUAGUUGACAGGAUCAAGGACGAGGCCCGAUGUUGGGCAAAGGCCGGGGCUCAAGGGCUCAGGGUCGUUUUGCCAUCAUCCUGGGAUGUCCACUGA